Molecule: long non-coding RNA, 1808 nt
Organism: Raphanus sativus (radish)
Lineage: Eukaryota; Viridiplantae; Streptophyta; Magnoliopsida; Brassicales; Brassicaceae
Exons: 3
Source: RefSeq, a predicted model, not a curated record
UUUUGGAUCGUCUGUGUUACGCGUCCUGCUCACUCUCCUCUUCUUCGUCGGUUAUGUGUAAUGCACGCGGAUUUGUGUAUUUAUCAUUUGAAGUUAACCCAUUUGUAUAACUUUAAUUAAAGUUGGAGCCUGCUGAGGCCCACGCAUACUUCAUCGUUUGUGGCCCAUUGUUUUAUUUGGGUUCUUAGUUCUUUUUAUUUUUUUUAUAUUUUUUUUUCUUCGUUCUUCUUCGCCGUCGACUAUGGUGGCCUCUUCACAUACAAAACAAAAACGUCUCACAACUCCUAUAAUCCAGCAUUAAUUCUGAGAUUUUCCCCUGUGUAAUCAACUCCUUUCUUUAAGAUUGCUAUCAGCCUCUUCGUUUCCACUGAAACCGCCUGGAUCUCCAACUAUAAAUAUCAGACUUUCUACCAUGCGCAGUCGAUCUCACACUAUAUUUGAAAACAAGGAAAUUUCGAUCAAACGAUUCCGAUGGCGAAUUCACACACUGUUCUUGCUAAUCUGAGAGCCGUCUGCUGAGGUUCUGGGAGGCCAAAAACAUCACCAAAGGGGGAAAACUGAUCAGCCUCGAGAUAUUAUUGAUUGAUGAACAAGUGAGUCACUUUUUCCCUAAUAUUAUUCUCCUUUAAUUUUCCCUUUUUUUCCCUGUCUCAAUCCUUUUGUAAUUACAUAUAGUUGUCUUUCCUAAUUAGAUUCCUCAUUUUUUUCCAUUUCUAUCUCUUUACAUUUAUGAAACCUCGCACUCCUUAGUAUUAGCUUCCCCUUUCGUCCCGUUUGAAUCUCAUUGUCAGUAUUUAUUUUUACCAUUUGUUCAUCUGAACAGUCUAUUUGUUUCCUCAUUUUCUGAUUUUUUUCAGUUGUUCAUCUCAACAGUCUACACUGGUUCAAGGGUCAGUUCCUGCAUUCUCAGACUUUGCAACUGUUUUGUUUUGGGAUCUGAGUUCUCCAUGAUCUGAGUUCUCAGACUUUGAAACUGUAUUAAUUUUCUUAGUCUUGGAUCAUCUCCCCAAAAAAAAAGAGUUCUUACUUUUACCUGUCUUGAGUAGGCUUUGUGAAAUGUGAUUUGGUUCUAGCAGGAAUGUGAUCGUGUGUGUAACAGGAGUAUGUUUGAGGACUUGAUGUUUCUAUGAGAAGUUUUCAAUGUAGAUAACAAAUCGCAAUGUUGGAUUUGUGCUACCAAUGGCUUACAGAGAUAGCAGCUCCAUCGGAUAUCAUCUGCAAGGCAACAGGUGGAAAAGAAGAAGUGAGAUACAUAUUUUUGAUAAGGCUAUAUCGAGUUCGAAGAGUCAUCCUGUUUUUCCACAAAAUGGAGAAAGACAUACUAAUCAAUUACCUUUUCACAAGAAUCGUCAAGCUUAUAUUCGUCAAGCUCUAUUGCACUCACACCGCUAAUUGUAUCUUCUAUUACUUUGCGACCACGCUACCUGCUUCUCAAGAAGGGUACACUUGGAUUGGAAGCUUGAAACUGAGAGAUUCAGUUUAGAGAGAUCGAUCUCUAGACCUGUCCACCACUUCUAUGUACUUUUCUGUUGUCACUAUGGCAACUGUUGGAUCACAUCAUCACAAACAUAUUCAGAAGAAACGUGCGGAAUCUCCAACCACUCGGAAAGCUGCCAUAUCAAUGACAUGAAGAAUCACUGCAAGCUACGCUUUCACUUCAAGAAUAUGAAGAAAUUCACAUCCUUCCCUUGACUUAGAGACUCGGUUAACGGCUCGAGACUAACUGCAACCACAAUAUGAAUCAACGUAUCCGUUAACUUUACACAUUAGAAUCGUCAACUAUGUUUUCUACUUUAUCCUAUUAAAUA